This 55-nucleotide microRNA precursor is filed under the name Heligmosomoides polygyrus. Its description in RNAcentral is "microRNA hpo-mir-124 precursor". Its record names the gene hpo-mir-124. The record is from miRBase by way of RNAcentral. Lineage: Eukaryota; Metazoa; Nematoda; Chromadorea; Rhabditida; Heligmosomidae.
CGCUUUCAUCGGUGACUUUAGUGUGAACUGCAACUAAGGCACGCGGUGAAUGCCA